GCCUUGGUGAUGGAAUGGUAGACAUGAGGGACUUAAAAUCCCUUGCUCAGUAAUGGGCAUACGGGUUCGAAUCCCGUUCAGGGCA
RNAcentral lists this transfer RNA (85 nucleotides) under Myoviridae sp. ctx322. Its description in RNAcentral is "tRNA-Leu". It matches the Rfam family "tRNA". Rfam says of the family: Transfer RNA (tRNA) molecules are approximately 80 nucleotides in length. Their secondary structure includes four short double-helical elements and three loops (D, anti-codon, and T loops). Further hydrogen bonds mediate the characteristic L-shaped molecular structure. tRNAs have two regions of fundamental functional importance: the anti-codon, which is responsible for specific mRNA codon recognition, and the 3' end, to which the tRNAs corresponding amino acid is attached (by aminoacyl-tRNA synthetases). tRNAs cope with the degeneracy of the genetic code in two manners: having more than one tRNA (with a specific anti-codon) for a particular amino acid; and 'wobble' base-pairing, i.e. permitting non-standard base-pairing at the 3rd anti-codon position. The record is from RNAcentral. Lineage: Duplodnaviria; Heunggongvirae; Uroviricota; Caudoviricetes.